RNAcentral lists this ribosomal RNA (901 nucleotides) under Penicillium godlewskii. RNAcentral describes it as "LSU rRNA". It matches the Rfam family "Eukaryotic large subunit ribosomal RNA", at positions 41 to 960 of the family's 3401-position model. Lineage: Eukaryota; Fungi; Ascomycota; Eurotiomycetes; Eurotiales; Aspergillaceae. The record is from RNAcentral.
UAUCAAUAAGCGGAGGAAAAGAAACCAACCGGGAUUGCCCUAGUAACGGCGAGUGAAGCGGCAAGAGCUCAAAUUUGAAAGCUGGCCCCCUCGGGGUCCGCAUUGUAAUUUGCAGAGGAUGCUUCGGGAGCGGUCCCCAUCUAAGUGCCCUGGAACGGGCCGUCAUAGAGGGUGAGAAUCCCGUAUGGGAUGGGGUGCCCGCGCCCGUGUGAAGCUCCUUCGACGAGUCGAGUUGUUUGGGAAUGCAGCUCUAAUUGGGUGGUAAAUUUCAUCUAAAGCUAAAUAUUGGCCGGAGACCGAUAGCGCACAAGUAGAGUGAUCGAAAGAUGAAAAGCACUUUGAAAAGAGAGUUAAACAGCACGUGAAAUUGUUGAAAGGGAAGCGCUUGCGAUCAGACUCGCUCGCGGGGUUCAGCCGGCCUUCGGGCCGGUGUACUUCCCCGCGGGCGGGCCAGCGUCGGUUUGGGCGGCCGGUCAAAGGCCCCUGGAAUGUAACGCCUCUCGGGGCGUCUUAUAGCCAGGGGUGCCAUGCGGCCUGCCCGGACCGAGGAACGCGCUUCGGCUCGGACGCUGGCAUAAUGGUCGUAAGCGACCCGUCUUGAAACACGGACCAAGGAGUCUAACAUCUACGCGAGUGUUCGGGUGUCAAACCCGUGCGCGCAGUGAAAGCGAACGGAGGUGGGAACCCCUCGGGGUGCACCAUCGACCGAUCCUGAUGUCUUCGGAUGGAUUUGAGUAAGAGCGUAGCUGUUGGGACCCGAAAGAUGGUGAACUAUGCCUGAAUAGGGCGAAGCCAGAGGAAACUCUGGUGGAGGCUCGCAGCGGUUCUGACGUGCAAAUCGAUCGUCAAAUUUGGGUAUAGGGGCGAAAGACUAAUCGAACCAUCUAGUAGCUGGUUCCUG